AGUGAACGCUGGCGGUAGGCCUAACACAUGCAAGUCGAACGGCAGCACAGUAAGAGCUUGCUCUUACGGGUGGCGAGUGGCGGACGGGUGAGGAAUACAUCGGAAUCUACUUUUUCGUGGGGGAUAACGUAGGGAAACUUACGCUAAUACCGCAUACGACCUACGGGUGAAAGCAGGGGAUCUUCGGACCUUGCGCGAUUGAAUGAGCCGAUGUCGGAUUAGCUAGUUGGCGGGGUAAAGGCCCACCAAGGCGACGAUCCGUAGCUGGGCUGAGAGGAUGACCAGCCACACUGGGACUGAGACACGGUCCAGACUCCUACGGGAGGCAGCAGUGGGGAAUAUUGGACAAUGGGCGCAAGCCUGAUCCAGCCAUACCGCGUGGGUGAAGAAGGCCUUCGGGUUGUAAAGCGCUUUUGUUGGGAAAGAAAAGCAGCAGGUUAAUACCCCGCUGUUCUGACGGUACCCAAAGAAUAAGCACCGGCUAACUUCGUG
This 492-nucleotide ribosomal RNA is filed under the name uncultured bacterium. RNAcentral describes it as "partial 16S ribosomal RNA". It matches the Rfam family "Bacterial small subunit ribosomal RNA", at positions 29 to 507 of the family's 1533-position model. The record is from RNAcentral.